This is a long non-coding RNA of Phlebotomus papatasi, 1159 nucleotides long. RefSeq lists it as uncharacterized. The transcript has 3 exons. The record is from RefSeq and is a predicted model, not a curated record. Lineage: Eukaryota; Metazoa; Arthropoda; Insecta; Diptera; Psychodidae.
UCCAAGUGGGUGUUGGGGAAAGUGGAGUCCCUGAACCCUGGGACUGAUGGAUUAGUUCGGGUAGCCCGUAUUAAAACCAAUCGGGGCAUAUACAAACGCCCUAUCACCAAAAUUGCAAGGCUUCCGCAAACAGACGAAGGAUUCCUUGGACGUGCUACAUCAUCAUCAGAUGCAUCAGUCCAACCCGGGGAGGAUGUUGGAAAUUAAUUAAAAAAUUCAAUAAUUUAUUUCAUUUAAAAAUUUCAAUUCAAAAUUUCAACUUAAAUUCAAUGCCUAACUUUAAAUUGCUCAAUUUUUUAAAUUUCAAAUCUAUUUCACAGCCAACUUCACGUUACUUUUUUUUGUAAAAAUUUUUCAUACAAAAAGUUCAUGCUGCUCUGCCCUUCUUCUAACCUUGAUUACUCUUCAAGUGGCUGUGAGCGGAAAAAAGUUAAUCAGAAAAUUUGUCAGUUUAUUUGUGAUUUGUGGUAGAAAUAUAUCGGUGGUGGGAAAAGGAUAAAAGGUGAUUUUUAUUGCGCGAUCAGGAAGACUGGAAGGAAGAGAGGAAGAAGCCAGAUUGUGCGGGAACAAGGCAACGAUUUUAAUCGUCCGGAAGGCUUCUCUCACCGGGAAGGAAAUUUUUUCUGGUCCUUGCGACCACGGAUUAAUAAAUACACAUUUCUCGUUAAAGGUGAGGUCAAGGACAAGGCUGAGGGAAAGUAUAGGGGAAAUUGAAUCUAAUCUGUUACACCUUUGAAUAUCUUUAAGGUGAGGCCAAGGACAAAUCCAUCGGGAAGCUAGAGAAGGAAUUCUAUUUAAUUCGUAUCCUUUGAAUAUCUUUAAGGUGAGGUCAAGGACAAGGCUGAGGGAAAGUAUAGGGGAAAUUGAAUCUAAUCUGUUACACCUUUGAAUAUCUUUAAGGUUGGUCAAAGUACAUCCAUUUUUCUGGUCCGUCAUCGAGCCAUCGCACUCAAUCAGCUAUCGCUCCAACGGUUUCUCCAACGGUCAUCAAUCCACUCACAAUGGCCAAGCAGGUUCGGGAGGGAGUUGUGCAGGCACUUAUUCGGGUCGAGUCUUUUUUGAAGGGUAUCAGCGAGGCUGAUCUCCAAUACAUGCAACGAAGCGUCAUUGAGGCUCAAAUGGAACAAGUUGCCACAUUGAGGACACGAUAUGUGGCAGC